RNAcentral lists this ribosomal RNA (253 nucleotides) under uncultured bacterium. RNAcentral's name for it is "partial 16S ribosomal RNA". It matches the Rfam family "Bacterial small subunit ribosomal RNA", at positions 524 to 776 of the family's 1533-position model. The record is from RNAcentral.
UACAGAGGGUGCGAGCGUUAAUCGGAAUUACUGGGCGUAAAGCGCACGCAGGUGGCUGAGUCAGUCGAUUGUGAAAGCCCUGGGCUUAACCUGGGAAUUGCAGUCGAUACUACUCAGCUAGAGUAUGGGAGAGGGUAGUGGAAUUCCCGGUGUAGCGGUGAAAUGCGUAGAUAUCGGGAGGAACAUCAGUGGCGAAGGCGGCUACCUGGCCCAAUACUGACACUCAGGUGCGACAGCGUGGGGAGCAAACGGG